UGAGGAAUAUUGGUCAAUGGGCUUACGCCUGAACCAGCCAAGUCGCGUGAGGGAAGACUGCCCUAUGGGUUGUAAACCUCUUUGUCAGGGAGCAACGCCGGCUACGUGUAGCCGGACUGAGAGUACCUGAAGAAAAA
This 137-nucleotide ribosomal RNA is filed under the name uncultured bacterium. RNAcentral's name for it is "partial 16S ribosomal RNA". It matches the Rfam family "Bacterial small subunit ribosomal RNA", at positions 355 to 489 of the family's 1533-position model. The record is from RNAcentral.